Long non-coding RNA from Monomorium pharaonis (pharaoh ant), 606 nucleotides. RefSeq lists it as uncharacterized. The record is from RefSeq and is a predicted model, not a curated record. Lineage: Eukaryota; Metazoa; Arthropoda; Insecta; Hymenoptera; Formicidae. The transcript is spliced from 2 exons.
AAGAGACGAUCUGGUUACGUUCCAGCGGAUGCCACUCGGCGCAAACCACCGUGUCGACAGAGCACUACAAUCGACAGUCAUCAGCCGUUAAAUGGCCUGCUUCCGGCCGAGAUAUACGCGAAUCAUUUGCAACUUUAUAAAUUCACUUUAGUACCACGAUCGCUCUUCUGCCAGUCCCAGAUCGAUAUAUUAUGAUCGGAAGUCUCGUCGAUGGCACACAAAUAAUUUCCGCCGUCGGCCUUGGAGAAUGACAGGCAGCAAAUCGAUCCGUCGAAUUCGCCAUUGCCGAUCACACUGAGAGUCGUCAGGCUUACGGAGUUCCAUAUUCUUAUAUGUGGCUAAAAUUCAUAUCAAAUUUAUAGUAUUUUGUAAUUUGUUCACUAAAUUUUAUAUAUUAUAUCGUUAAAAUUAUGUCUUAUUUUUUUCUUUUUUCUUUUUUAUUCAUUUAAUAUACAUUUCCGUAAUGAAAGGAUUCUCAGCUCGUAUUUUGCAAAGCAAUAAUGUAAAAAAUAGUAAGAGGAACAAAGAAGAACACCGAACGAACAAGAAGUGUAUAAGUUAAAAUCUUAAUUUAUGAUUUUGCAAUAAAGUUUAUUAUCUCUUAAC